Molecule: transfer RNA, 61 nt
Filed under: Phyllidiella pustulosa
Lineage: Eukaryota; Metazoa; Mollusca; Gastropoda; Nudibranchia; Phyllidiidae
Also listed under: 1 other name
Description: tRNA-Ser
Source: RNAcentral
UGGAGAUAUAAAACUUAGGCUGCUAACUUGAGUUUGGGAAAUUGUAGUUUUCCGUCUUCAA